AGGCAUCCCCCACCGUUGAUCCUGAUCGUGUAAGCGGUUUGAGACCCGUCGGUUCUGAAGGUGCAACACAAGGGAGCCUUAGAACAAGGUGAUGCAUUGUUCUUGAUGUAGCUGUAACAUAAGCUGGUAGGACUACAAUCUAUUGGCGCCUGCAGACCCCAAAAUCUCUUGGUCAGUCCUGAAAACCGGGUUCCAUUACAUUUUAAUCGAAAUCUACUUUCAUUGAACCCAAACCUAAUAACCAAACUAAAACUGAUCUCAAAUUUGAUCAUAAACCAAUAUGUUCUACAAUCUUCACACCAAACCAACUAAACUUUUUUGCUUUACCUGCAGCAUAGCCUGAGAGCAAUUAAGGAGCAAGAUAGUGUUGCUACUAGUGAUGCUGAAAGGGAGAUGGGGGUCGAGCUCGAGGCCCUGUUUAGAGACAUCAGCUGAGAUACAGGAUACUGAGCUAGCAAGACCAGGCGGGCGUAGAACGAUCCGCUGGGUCACUGAGUUGAUGGACGUAAUGACAUAAGAUGACCCAUGGAGGGCACCGAAAUAAAGCUUACCACCAACACAAUUUAUCCUAUAGGCUUGAUCCCCGCAGGUUGGACCCGUGCUUAGAGGAUAAGGUACAACCAUAGGUCCGCAGUUAGGACACCGUGGUGGUCCGGCCAUGGGAGGUUUUGCCUUAGCAUGUCGGGCACAAGAAUGACCCGCGCAUGCUAGCCAUACGGUCAAGAGAGUAGGUAUCAAUAAGGCGUAGUAUGAUCGCUUCUUCUCCAUUUUGUUGUAUAACUAAUUAAGAGUGUGGACAAUUAGUGAUCAAAAGAUGUGAGUAAAAGUUUAGGUUUAUGUACUAAUGAAAGGUCAUUAUUAUUUAUUUAUGUUAUUGCUGUGGUUAUACAUUUGUUACGUAUAUCUUAGUAAAGUAAACAAAAGCAAUUCCCGAGUUGUUUUGAAACGAGAAAAUGUGAGGAUUGGUUUGGA
RNAcentral lists this long non-coding RNA (972 nucleotides) under Arabidopsis thaliana (thale cress). RNAcentral describes it as "long non-coding RNA (ATHA_LNC000339)". Lineage: Eukaryota; Viridiplantae; Streptophyta; Magnoliopsida; Brassicales; Brassicaceae. The record is from RNAcentral.